UACUGACGGAGUAGCUCCACCCUAACACCACCGGGUACAGUACUGACGGAGUAGCUCCACCCUAACACCACCGGGUACAAUACUGACGGAGUAGCUCCACCCUAACACCACCGGGUACAGUACUGACGGAGUAGCUCCACCCUAACACCACCGGGUACAGUACUGACGGAGUAGCUCCACCCUAACACCACCGGGUACAGUACUGACGGAGUAGCUCCACCCUAACACCACCGGGUACAGUACUGACGGAGUAGCUCCACCCUAACACCACCGGGUACAGUACUGACGGAGUAGCUCCACCCUAACACCACCGGGUACAGUACUGACGGAGUAGCUCCACCCUAACACCACCAGGUACAGUACUGACGGAGUAGCUCCACCCUAACACCACCGGGUACAGUACUGACGGAGUAGCUCCACCCUAACACCACCAGGUACAGUACUGACGGAGUAGCUCCACCCUAACACCACCAGGUACAGUACUGACGGAGUAGCUCCACCCUAGUACCACCAUGUACAGUACUGAUGGAGUAGCUCCACCCUAACACCACCAGGUACAGUACUGACGGAGUAGUACUGUGAGUACUCCAUUCUGAUUGGCCAAUACACAUUCCAAGACUCUAAGUUCAUUUCCAACGCCACACGUACUGUGUAGUGUACGCGCACACUACACCUCGGUACAAACACCACCACCUCAUACUACACGCACACUACACCUCGGUACAAACACCACCACCUCAUACUACACGCACACUACACCUCGAUACAAACACCACCACCUCAUACUACACGCACACUACACCUCGAUACAAACACCACCACCUCAUACUACACCUCGAUAUAAACACCACCACCUCAUACUACACCUCGAUAUAAACACCACCACCUCAUACUACACCUCGAUACAAACACCACCACCUCAUACUACACGCACACUACACCUCGGUACAAACACCACCACCUCAUACUACACGCACACUACACCUCGGUACAAACACCACCACCUCAUACUACACGCACACUACACCUCGGUACAAACACCACCACCUCAUACUACACGCACACUACAC
Long non-coding RNA from Gadus macrocephalus (Pacific cod), 1070 nucleotides. RefSeq lists it as uncharacterized. NCBI's taxonomy places the organism in Eukaryota, Metazoa, Chordata, Actinopteri, Gadiformes, Gadidae. The transcript has 2 exons. The record is from RefSeq and is a predicted model, not a curated record.